CAGCUUCGGUGUUCUGCCGAGUUCUGCCGAGAACUGCAUGCACCUCGCGGGAGCGCGCACAGCUAAAGGGAAAACUAACCUACCAGACAUUAGGAAAACUAACUUCUGGGGCUUUGAACAAAGUCCAACACAAAUGUUUGAAAUGAGUGAGCCACCAGAGGGUCUAACAAAGACUCCUGGAACUCUUUCCAGGUCACCACCUUCCCUAUGGCCUGAUCUUUGUACAGUGAAAAGACUUUCCCUGGGCAUACUAAAUGUAUUUCACCACCACUCCAGGGAAGCCAGCGUGAACAUGAGGACCGUUUGGGUCCUACUUCCUACUCCAUCUUCUUCUUUGUGGCAUUCAGUUCCCGCUGAAAGAACUCUGUCUCUUUCAAAGUCCUUGAAGGGUAUUUUUGGGUUUGUCAGACCUUCUGCACCAUAUAUUUUAAAAACCUUAUCGGAGCGGUAGAAGUAUCUGAUGGGACCAUGCUGGUAGAAAAAGUGGAUGGUCAUUGCUCGACUUUUUGUCUGCUGCCUCUCCAUGAUGCUUUUAACAAUUUUUUCAGUGGAGACUCAGGUUAGAGGUGUGGCCAGGGUCUCAGCAGGUGGAGGUGGGUUUACUACUGCAACAGGCAUGGUAACAAUUGGCAUAUUUCUAGUUUCACUCCCCACUGUCAGAGAGUGCCAGAGUGGCUGCCUCACUUGGAGCUUUUCUGGGCUCGUGUUUAAAGAGGAGCUGGCAUUCAUCGGCUUGACCAGGUGCUUUACAUAUUGUGCAAUGUGUAAUUUGGUGGUUGGGUUUAGCAUGUUUGGGUCUCUACAGGAGCUGUGAAUGAGAGCAGCAUUGGUUGUCAACGGCUUUCUUCAUUGGGACUGGCCAACACUUGUGGUCUAACCCAAAGACCCUCCCACCAGCCUUCACAGGUCCAGUGUGAGCGGUAGUUGGUGAGGACAAAAUUAUUCCUCCUCUCUCCAUAAUAACCAUAAAUCCCUUCCCAACAUUAUCCAACUGCAAAAAACAUUGGGGACAAAUCCACAGUAAAAAUGUAUGUCUGGACUGUCUGCAGCACUGGCUGUUUUAAGGUCCCUAACGAGGACCGCAGUCCAGUUUAGUGUGUUCAACAUGUUCAAAUUCUAUAUUUAAUGUUCUGUGUUGUACUAGAGCUCAGGUGAUGUUUCUCUGCACCCGGAGGGGGCUUCCAUGGCACCGGCUGCAGAUGUAAGACUUCUGAAAGAUUUUGGACUUUGGGUAACACUUGUUCUAUACUAAAUUAUGUAUGUUGUUGAGCUUAUUGAUUUCCCCUCACUAAAAAAAUCCCACAUUUGUGAAGCUCCAGAUGAGCAUACAUGAUGCAUUCUGAGUUUUACACUUUGGUCUGUUUGGUUUGGUCUCAAACAGUAAUUUUCAUCAGAUUUCCCAUUUACGUGUCUUUUUUUUUUUUAAACCUGUUUGAUGCUCAGUGUUCUGUGUUUGAUGGUCACUUUUGA
Molecule: long non-coding RNA, 1470 nt
Organism: Thunnus maccoyii (southern bluefin tuna)
Lineage: Eukaryota; Metazoa; Chordata; Actinopteri; Scombriformes; Scombridae
Exons: 3
Source: RefSeq, a predicted model, not a curated record